Molecule: long non-coding RNA, 444 nt
Organism: Galleria mellonella (greater wax moth)
Lineage: Eukaryota; Metazoa; Arthropoda; Insecta; Lepidoptera; Pyralidae
Exons: 3
Source: RefSeq, a predicted model, not a curated record
CCAAAGUACAGCGAGCACUCAACUUAUCGAGACAUCAUGCCCUCCUCUUUAUGUUGUGAUUCAUCCGUACUCUGAAAACAAUUGUAACAGUUUUAUUGAGUAUUAUCGAACAUUUUUGUAUUACUAUGAAGACUUCAAAAACAAAAAGAAAUGGAAAAAGUUGAGGCCAAUAUGCAAAUGCUAGGCUUUGACUUCUAAAUGACACCGGAAUUGGACGUUACUGAAGAUGUCGGCACCUUGAACCUCAAUUCUUUUGGAGAUGUUGACAAAAGAGUUCUGAAACUGCGGAGCUACAGCAAAUUUUUUUAGCGGUACUCAAACAUGUGGUCACGGCAUGUCUCCUCGCCUUUGGGUGGUAGCCAGCCGCGUUUAGGGUGGCAAAGGUAACCAGGUGGUGGCUCUUUCGCUAAUAACUCUUCCACUUCGGGCAAUUUUAUAUCGCAC